UACCAGCACCCCGAGUGGUCGGGACGUUUAUUGGGCCUAAAGCAUCCGUAGCCGGUUCUACAAGUCUUCCGUUAAAUCCAACUGCUUAACAGGUGGGCUGCGGAAGAUACUAUAGAGCUAGGAGGCGGGAGAGGCAAGCGGUACUCGAUGGGUAGGGGUAAAACCCGUUGAUCCAUUGAAGACCACCAGUGGCGAAGGCGGCUUGCCAGAACGCGCUCGACGGUGAGGGAUGAAAGCUGGGGGAGCAAACCGG
RNAcentral lists this ribosomal RNA (253 nucleotides) under uncultured bacterium. RNAcentral describes it as "partial 16S ribosomal RNA". It matches the Rfam family "Archaeal small subunit ribosomal RNA", at positions 474 to 727 of the family's 1478-position model. The record is from RNAcentral.